GCGCGCGUAGCUCAACUGGUAGAGCAGCGGUCUCCAAAACCGCAGGUUGGGGGUUCGAGUCCCUCCGCGCGUGCCA
Molecule: transfer RNA, 76 nt
Filed under: Pseudomonadota bacterium
Lineage: Bacteria; Pseudomonadati; Pseudomonadota
Description: tRNA-Trp
Rfam family: tRNA
About the family: Transfer RNA (tRNA) molecules are approximately 80 nucleotides in length. Their secondary structure includes four short double-helical elements and three loops (D, anti-codon, and T loops).
Source: RNAcentral